GUCCCCAAACCGUCCUCAUGGACCCCCUGUCCUGCAGGUUUUUGUUCCAGCUCUUCUCUUUCACACCUGCUCCAUUUAAGGGCCUCAUGCUGAUUGGUUGAAACAGAUCUACCUGAACAUGAGGGUGCAUGGGCCUUAUCUUGGGUCAAGUGUGCAAAAGUACUGCUGGAACAAAAACCUGCAGGAGAGGGGGUUCUUGAGGACCAGUGUGGGAACCACUACUUUAAAGAACCUCUUGCUAAAAGCUUCUUUGUGGAACCAAAAUAGGUUCUUCAGACUGAUGCCAUAGGAGAACCAUUUUUUGUUCCAGUUAGCUCCUUUAUUUUUCUGCGCAUGGAUGCAUAUGAGAAGCUUUUUGUUGGUGAUUGAUUGAGUUGUACAUGGAGAAAUAACAGAGCACUUGGCUUCCAGGCCAAGAGUCAGAUGUUCCACUCAAACCAUGAACAAUGACAAACAUAUGAGACUCGGUGCCUCAAGUGUUGGAAAGGCCGCUGUGACUGUCGGCAUGCCAGCUCCGGUCUCUCUUCACCCCGGUGGGAUCGCAGCAGAAUGUGCUAGGAUUUUUUGUAAGCUGUUGCAUAUGUUUGGCCAACUCUCCUGUUCAGGGAAGUGACGGGCCUUUGUGGAAAUCCAAGGUUCCCAAACCGGAGUGCUGGAGGGGGAUUCCAUGUGGUGCCCAGAAAAACUGAGAAAUACUUACACAUGACUGUCAGAUGUGGGUCCAGGGAACAAAACCUUUACCAAAGGAGCGCCUCUGUGGUUGGAAGUGCAUCUAUCUCGGAAGUUGCUGACAUGAGAAGAUAGUUUUCUCCAAUAUCAACAGCAAAACAAAUGGGAUUUCUUUUAUAAAAUUCAAAAUAUGUAUGAAUAUGAAUGUUUGAAUAUGAAAACAAUCCUUGUAAUGCACCAUCUUUGUCCUGAAUUUACUUGUACUUAAAAGGCUCCACUUUUUGUUCAUGAUUCCAAAUUUGGGAAACAAGUGAUCACUUCUGCAGUUUUACUUCUCUAUUCUUUUUUCCUGAGAAGCUCUGUGAGGUUGUUUUUUUUUCCUUCUUUAAAGUGAAUACUGGAAAUAAACGUUUCAGUUUUCUUUCUUA
Molecule: long non-coding RNA, 1097 nt
Organism: Myripristis murdjan (pinecone soldierfish)
Lineage: Eukaryota; Metazoa; Chordata; Actinopteri; Holocentriformes; Holocentridae
Exons: 2
Source: RefSeq, a predicted model, not a curated record